Long non-coding RNA from Rattus rattus (black rat), 2330 nucleotides. RefSeq lists it as uncharacterized. The record is from RefSeq and is a predicted model, not a curated record. Lineage: Eukaryota; Metazoa; Chordata; Mammalia; Rodentia; Muridae. The transcript has 3 exons.
GGGAGGCGCGGAAAUGCUAGCCGAGCCUGCUGGCGUGAAAGCCCCCGGGGCCUGGCACCCCCAAAACCGACCCCCCCACCUCUGCCCCUGCUCCCCCUUGCUUGGGUUACCCAGGGCCGCCCCUCUCUUCCUUCAACCACCUUUCCUCAUUACCUAGGCUGGCGACCUAAAUUCAAAGUAUUUUGCAUGUAUGAUUUCUUUUUCUGUUUUGCUUUCCUUACUGCAUGUCUAGGGGGGAGGGGCCAGCCUGUCCAGACCCCUAUCCAUUUGCGAACCUGCCAUAUUUCCAUAUGGCAUCCGAGGGGCUCAGAAAGAAAUUAGCGCAGCUCUGUAUCUGUACAGACUGCAUAACUUUUAAACUCCCGGGGCUGAAAUAAUAUGGAGACACAGGCACAGGUACAGGAAAUACAACCAGUCCACAGCCUUCUCAGACUGCAACUGACCGGAAGAAAGCCUUUCGCUCAUUCAUUCGGACAGCCUCGAUAGUACAGCCCUGAAACAGAAGUUGGGCUUUUAAAAAGAAAGAAAGAAAAGUCUCUACACUCGCUGAGAAGAGAUAGUCGAUACACAGGAAGGACUAGAGAAUCGGAUUCACCAGGCAGGCAAAAGUCCUUGGUGCCUUGUGGAUUGAAGUCAAAAGAGAGAAAACAAAACUGUACAAAGGCUGUCAGGCCUGACCCUUGGGGAAAGGCUUAAAGUUCUACUUAGCGUUCUGAUUUUGCUUUUCAAUUGUGUCUCUUCCUGUGUAAGGGCUGAAAGGACCCUGGAGACCACAGAACACAGACCCAUGGUGGAGACAUUUCCAUUAAUCUUGUAAAGUGAUCAGUCACUGGAAGGAUUGAAUUGCAUUUCCUGCCCAAAGAUGUGGAGACAGAUGACCUUUGCAGCAGCCCUCAGACCCCCGGUUCACAGCUGGAGAGAGGAUGUGUCAGCAUUUGCCUUCCAGUCUCACCCAGCCCUUUGUUCAGAGCUCGAACCCUUUGUGCUCAGGCUGCAGCAGGGGGAUUUUGUAAUUGUUGAUGCAGAUUUUUUUUUUUUCCCUAACCUCCCACUUCUUAACAGCUUCUGAGAAACAAACUCUUAUUUGGCAGAAGAUGGUAUCUAAGAGCUGCCCCAGAGGGAGAACCAGAAUAGAUGUGGGGAAUUUUGAGAGGCCACUUGGCCUUUUGGCUAUAACUACUGCCCCUUCCUCGGUUUCCCUGUAUACAGUGGGCCAAACUGGACGGAGUCAGAAGUCCAACAAAGUCAUAAUACCUCAUGUUAAGUGGCUCUAUUUAGAAGAAGAAGAAGAAAACAAGGCUUUUACCUAUACGAUCUCAAGUCAAAGGCACUUAGAACUAAAGCAUUUAUGUAAAAGGAUAUGAAAACCUAGACAGUCCCUCAACGUGCCGGAGAGUCUGUUUUCUCACCUGUGAAAUGGAGGUUUUAAGGCAAAACCCACUGCAGUCUCACUAUGUGUCCUAUAUGCUCACAAAAGGGCUCACCCAGUAAUGGUAUUCAAAGGAAGCUGAUGCUCUGGGCGCCAUAAGCCCAACAUUUUGCUUUUUGCUGAGUUUUAAGGUUCAGGGGAGAGUCCUCUGUGGAGGUUGAAUAGCUGUUUCCCCAGCCAGAUUCCCUCCAAACCUAACCUAACCUUGUUCGGUGUUUUGAGUCCUUUGACUGAAUAUUUUUGUCUCCUCCAGGCCUCUGUACCUGCUGGUCCUUUCUCUCUACAUUUUAUCCUGCUAGCUCCAACAUCCCUCUCCUAGAAGCUGCUUGGGUAUCUCAUUUCCUGUCACCUUCUAACGCUAAACACGUUAUGUUGUCCCGAGAUUUCCUCAGGGAAUCAGACCCAGGACCCCAGCAGGAACUAAAAUGAAAGAAUACUCUGGUGCUAUAAUGGCGGGGUGGUUCUAUAGAACCACACCCUCCUGGUGGUCCUUGAAUUGUUUCCAGAUUAUUUUUUAAUACCUAGUAGUUUAAGAAAUAAUGGCGCGGAAGAAAACAUGGGAGUUGGGGAGAAAAACUAUAAUUCCUCCCAGUACCGGUGAACUUAUGGCCUCACUCAAGAUAGGCAAGCCCUCUGCCACUGGGCUAUAUCGCCAACCCUUUUUCUCUUUUUCUUUUUGAAACGUAGCCUUGCUAAAUUGCCGAGGCUAGCCUUCAACUUAUGAUUCUCAUCCUUACCUGGAAUUAUAGACCCAAGGCCCAGCCAGAUGGUGUUGUGAUAGAGUCGCGGCUCCCGUCCGGACAGACCACACCAGGCCAAGGCAGUUCCAAGUGGGAGAGGUUUAUUCUGGUGGAAGGGGACGACAGAGCCAAAGUGGGGCAAAGAGAGAAAAAGAAGGGUC